Molecule: long non-coding RNA, 4018 nt
Organism: Lycium barbarum (goji berry)
Lineage: Eukaryota; Viridiplantae; Streptophyta; Magnoliopsida; Solanales; Solanaceae
Exons: 14
Source: RefSeq, a predicted model, not a curated record
GAGGUCUCGGAUUAGGGCUUUUAUCUUCUGUCUCGGAUUAGGGUAGCUACUUUUUGUUUCCUUAGCUACAUAUAUAAAAAUUUAAUAACAAGCAAUAAUCUCAGUUGCAUAUACAAGAAUAAUAUUAUAGCAAGCAUUAAAAAUACAGAUAACCCAGGAGAAAUUACAGAGCCGGAUUUUGCCAUUUUUACCGAGCAUCACACCAUUAUUACACAGGUUUCCGUGGGUUAUGAAAGCACCGUUAAUCCCUUCCAUACCAAGACCUAUUGCACUUUUUCAGGAAAAAAAAUGUAAGUAUGGCAAGAGUAGAGGAAUUCAGAUUGAAGACCAUGCAAAAAACUUACGAGAAGAUAUCCUGGGCAGCGUUGCCGAAGCAAUCUCUUUCAUAUCCCGUAAUCCUAAUAGGUUUCCCAUACCUCCAAAAGUCUUCCCCCAAGUUAGAUAAAUUCACUACGAACACAUGUUCAAUGAAUGCUAGUCCAUAUUCUUUUCCCCCUACCACGCAACGUAGCGCCAUAUACCCUCUAACGACAUGGGGAACACCCCUUGCUUCCAAAAGCUUCAAGUCUCUAAUAAAUUGACGUGCAUUGUCAAAGGUAUCGUAUACCUGAACAGACACAUCAAUUGUCUCUCCUUCAUAGUCGAGUGUGCCUGUGAAUGUGUUGUCAUUGACCUUAUCUUUGAGAGUGUAUGUACAUCCAACUUGUCUCUCAAGGCCUUCAAAAACAUCCAUGAAGACCUAAUAUGAAAUUUAAUGUUGUAAGUACAAAUUUAGUUCCAAUAAUGGUAGCUCAUUUCUCCAAAGGAAAAAAAAAAUUAGAUCAGUUUUGACACUUUUUCACCAAGGAAUCACAUUAUAAAAUUAGUUUCAUUAAAAGAAUGAAAAAAAAAAGAUAAUGCCUAUCUAAGCAUAAACGUGCUUAUAAAAAAAAAGAUAAUGCCUAUCUAAGCAUAAACAUGCUUAUUACUUUAUUUAGAAAGAAUGCGAGACAUACCCAAGAGCUGCUUUCUCUUAUUCCCUGUUUUCUCUCUAUUCUACUGUUGCAACUUCCAUUGCUGCUACUGUUCUUGUGCUGUAUUACUGUUUUUCUGAAUCUGCAACGUUUGGUAUUCUAACAUCCCCUUCCCAAAAGCCCAAGUUGACAUCUGGAGUGGGGAGUAACAUAACAUGGUUGGUUGGGGAUGACUCUAAUACCAUGUUAGAGAGGACAGUGGUGCUAAUCCAAGACUCAGCAGUUUGCUCAAGGUGUAUGAAUUGUCCAAGACUAUAUAUAAGGUGAGAGACGGGGCAAUGAAAAUGAUAGUCUGUGUAGAUCUGGUUUGAUUCCUGCCCUUACCUGUUACUUCGAAGAAAUCGGGCAAUUAUUGGUGGACUGUUUGGACUGAAAUAAGUAAAUGUUGUUUUGACAAUUCUGUGGAGCUCAACAAAUGAUGUUUGGUUAACUACAAACCUAUUCCCAUGAAUUCGGCUAAGAGCCGUGAAGAAGCACUGUUUGCAUUUGAAUGCUUCUGUGAGAAGCUUGGGAAGUUUUUUGAACCGUAUGUAACUCAAAAGUUACCAUUCCUCUUGGUUUCAUUCUGAUCAAGUGGUUGCGGUGCAUGCUGCUGCUCGGGUAAUGAUGUCUCAGCUUAGUGCUCAAGGAGUGAAACUAAUUCUUCCAUCACUUUUGAAGGUUCUUAAUUUAGCUUUCCCCCUUUACCCCUUAGCUCAGUGCAGUUGACUCUAUCCGAUAUUGGUUGAGUGAUGUGGUUAGCUGGAUGAUGGAUUAAUCUUGCACAAUGUUGUUUAUUCACACUCAGAGAGUACUCUUACGAAGACAUGCUCGAAAUUCUUUUCCAGUAUACAUUUAUUCCGACAGGCUCAUGUCGUUUAAGGGGAAAUUAUAGGUCUUGAGAAUGCUUUUCUGAUGAUGAGACAUUGUUGCACAGGGGACCACAUUGGUCAAUCUUUAGGACUGUUUGGCUGCGUAGAAAUGGAGAAACUGUAAACUUAAUGCAUGCCCACUUGCUCUUUGACUUUUGAAGAACAAGUGUAACAUUUCAUGAAUGCGUAUAUUGUGGGUUAGAUUAACUUUUGGCAUCUGUGAAUUUCAUCUGAAUUGGAUCCUCAGUUCCUUUGUUGAAAAACCUUAAUGGGUCUAAGAUAACCAGAAAAACUUUGAUAUUCUGCUGUAGUUGAUGAGUCCGCUAUUAAAUAUCUUCCCAUGUGUUUCAGAUUCGCUAAACUCAUUUAUUAGUUAUCCUUCAUUACAUGAUACCUAUAUUUACAUUACUUUUCUGAAUCAAGGCCUUGAUGAUAAAGCUCGGAGGUGCUAUGGCCUACUGUGCUCCACAGCAAUUGCCACAAUGUCUCCCUAUGAUUGUGCCCAAGUUAACUGGGGAUUGUCCUUUUGCAUCCAAACUUAGUACUUACUGUCUCUGACUACAGUGCCGUACUAGUCUCAGUUUCAUACCGCUUUGGUAAUACUGUACAGGUGCUUACUGAUACCCAUCCCAAGGUUCAAUCAGCUGGACAGACAGCCCUUCAGCAGGUUGGGAGUGUUAUAAAGAACUCUGUGUUAUCUGCACUUGUCCCUACUCUUCUAAUGGGUAUUACAGAUCCCAAUGACUCAAAUGAGUAUACAAAAUACACCCUUGAUAUUCUUCUCCAGACAACCUUUGUGAAUUCAAUUGAUGCUCCUUCUCUCCCACUGCUAGUACCAACUGAGGGCUUCGUGAAAGGAGCGGCCGAGACUAGGAAGAAAGCUGCACAAAUGUGUUCAUUAGUGCAGAACCUGAGGACAUGAUACCCUACACAGGACUACUGCUCCCUGAAGUUAAAAACAUGCUGAUGGAUCCAAUUCCUGAAGUUCGAUCUGUUGCUGCAAGAGCCAUUGGUUCUCUUAUACGGGGGAUGUGAGAAGAAAACUUCAGACCUCAGUUACCAAUUCAAAAAAAAUAAAAAAUAAACUCCCAGACCUGGUGCCUUGGUUGUUGGAUACUUUGAAGUCUGAUGGCAACAACGUUGAGCGUUCUGGGGCACAAGGACUAGGUGAGUAUCUGCCAAGAUCUUUUGGCGUCCAAUUCUUGAACUGUUUGCAGCAAGUUCUGCCAGCGAUCUUAGAUGGUUUGGCCGAUGAGAAUGAAUUUGUGCGUGAAGCAGCACUCAGCGCUGGCCAUGUUCUGGUGGAGCACUCUGUAAUUACAUCUUUGCCUCUGCUUCUUCCGGCUGUGGAAUAAGGUUGUUGGAACAUCUGGAAAAGCACAUCUUGUGGUAGUGAUGAUGAGGGUGCAGUACUGAGGCUCAUGGACAAGAUAUUAUUGAGGUCCUCAGGAGGACAAGCGCAAUGAAAUCCUUGCUGCAUUGUAUAUGGUCUGAACCGACGUCAGCAUAACUCUACGCCAGGCUGCUUUGCAUGUUUGGAAGACCAUUGUAGCAAAUACUCUGAAAACGUUGAAGGAGAUAAUGCCUGUACUGAUGAGCAAAUUGAUAAGUUUUCUAGCAUCUUCAUCCUCCUCUGAAAGGAAACAGGUCACUGGAUGAGCAUUGGGGGAGCUUGUUAGGAAGCUUGGAGAUAGAGUCCUUCCUUUGAAUUUCCCAAUAUAAUCACGGGUCUAAAAGAUCCUAAUCCAAGUAGAAGACAAUGGAGCUGCUGUUAUAUUUGCCAGAUCGCCCUAUUGUGGAUUAAUCGGUGUCGUUCAUAUGGUUGAUGGCUGUUGGAACAAUUAUUUGUGCAGCUCUUUGGAAAAAGUUUAUUCAAUCUUAGGGAAAUGACGACCAUGAACUAUCACCCAACCCCAGUACACACACACACAAAAAAAAAAAAAAAAAAAAGAUGCUCUCCGACAUAUUCUUUUGAGUUAGCAAUCACAUCUAUGCCUUGGUGUGUGGCUAUUUUGAUAGACUUGUCAUCACUGAAUCUAAAAAUUGAUCUAGUUAUUUUAGAUUACCCUGGCUGUUGGAUUGUGGGUUACAAUUUUUUUUUUCCAACAGAGAGAUUGGUAGUUUACAAAUUUAGUAAGAUUGGUAGUUUACUAA